AACGAACGCUGGCGGCAUGCCUAACACAUGCAAGUCGAACGAGACCUUCGGGUCUAGUGGCGCACGGGUGCGUAACGCGUGGGAACCUGCCCUUAGGUUCGGAAUAACUCCCCGAAAGGGGUGCUAAUACCGGAUAAUGUCUUCGGACCAAAGAUUUAUCGCCUUUGGAUGGGCCCGCGUUGGAUUAGCUAGUUGGUAGGGUAAAAGCCUACCAAGGCGACGAUCCAUAGCUGGUCUGAGAGGAUGAUCAGCCACACUGGGACUGAGACACGGCCCAGACUCCUACGGGAGGCAGCAGUGGGGAAUAUUGGACAAUGGGCGAAAGCCUGAUCCAGCAAUGCCGCGUGAGUGAUGAAGGCCUUAGGGUUGUAAAGCUCUUUUACCCGGGAUGAUAAUGACAGGACCGGGAGAAUAAGCUCCGGCUAACGCCG
Molecule: ribosomal RNA, 431 nt
Filed under: uncultured bacterium
Lineage: Bacteria
Description: partial 16S ribosomal RNA
Rfam family: Bacterial small subunit ribosomal RNA
Source: RNAcentral